Molecule: long non-coding RNA, 3330 nt
Organism: Dromaius novaehollandiae (emu)
Lineage: Eukaryota; Metazoa; Chordata; Aves; Casuariiformes; Dromaiidae
Exons: 2
Source: RefSeq, a predicted model, not a curated record
CCAGGAGCUAUCGCCUGCCAGUACAGUGGAAGAAAGAUCUGCUAGAAUGAAUUGUUGUUUCGGUUGGAAUUUGGUGGCCGAGGACUAAAGAGAGAAGAACAAAGAGAGGCUGACUGACUCUGGAAAAACCAUCCAGCUUGUUGGGGAAUAAAUAUCUGCCACGGAUGUUGCACAUGAAUAGUUCCCGAGAAGCGACAGCUCUGGACAUAGGGGUUUCGUUUUCAGAAGGAUUUCAAGGCUGCCAUUUCUAUCAGGGCUGAGCAAUGAUUCAGUAGAAAAAGCCGGAGUUGGGCCCUGUGCAUAACCUCCACUCUGCCCCUGCAUCCAGGCAUCCUCUGGCUCAUUUAAUACUCUGCGUCCCAUCCUUGAAGGAGUACUGCACAUUAUCUGCUACGGCCAUUUCUGCCUUGGGUUACUUUUAUCCAGUCUCAUUUUUAUACUAGUUCUUUGGUUGUGAUGGCCUGGGCUAUCUAUUGACACAGACUUUUUCUGUGAUACAGUUCUGUAUUUUAGCUCCCAUGAGCUGUCCAUUCACCAGGACAGCUUACUUCUUCUUGAACCUCAGAGCUGGCUUUUUCUCAGAGAAGGGUGGACAGGUCCAGCGUGUGUGGGUUCAGAGCGCACAGCCUGUUGAGGAGAGCAGGGGCUAUGUGUGAGAGCUGGAUCCCAGAUCCCUGUUCAGUUGCUCCCAAUGAACAGGCUGAGCAACUUUUCUGAGAAAAUAGGACUUGUGAAAGGCACCUUUCCUGAAGCCCUCAGGACUGAGCAUUCCUUGGUUACUGAUUGCUGCAUUUAGACAUAAUGCAGUGGCUACAAAGGCCUGUGUUGGAUGAAAGAGGUCUCACUGUGUUCCCACAUACUCCACAAAGCCAGAGAUCACACUUAAGCAAAUCCUAGGAAAUUAAAACCUAGUGAAGUCAAGCAACAUUGUGGUGAGGGGACAGGAGAAGAAAGGAUCUGCACUCCUCAUGGCAUGGCAAAAAAAAUGCCUAGAACAACAUUCCCUGGCCCAGAGCUUCUUAGCCAGAUCCCAGAGUAAUGGUACUACCCCAUAACUGGCUGCAUCUUUAAGAGCUUCUCACAAAAGUGGAUAUGAAUAGUUGCUGUAGACAUAUCAUGUAAUGGUGGACAGUUAUAAUUCAGCUAUUUAAAUUCGCAGCUGUCAGAGAUUUCUGAGCAGCACCUGACACCAAGAAUAAGACAAAAUCAGGGAAUUCCCUAAAUGAAAGAACAGAACUCUCACAGUCUGUUCAAAGCUGAAACUAUCCAUAACUGGAAAGAGAGGUAAAACCGAUUUUACUGUAUGUGUUUUGAAAAGAGAUUCAUCAGAGAUGGCUUCUGACAGUAGAUGCUUCUGAAGCACUUUUUUCUGACAGUGUGAGCAGGAGUUAAUUAGUAAACAAUUGUAAAGCUUGAAGAAUACCGCACUCCACUUGAAAAUGAACUAUUGGAGCAGCAUGAAAAAAAACAGUCAGAGACUGGGAGAUUUAAAAUGGACUGGAAAUGGAAUGCUCACUUAAGGGAGUGCGAGCAGAGGUACCAGGUCUAGAACAGAUCGUUGGCUUGGCAGAUUAAGUUUGCAAAACAGAGGAACCCACACAGUCCCUACUACUUCUAGGAAGUGUCAAGUGCUCUGAAAAUACAGGUGUACCUGUAGAUGCAAAAUAGACGAGGAAAGAGAAAUGCAGCAGAAUGGCAUGAGAAUGGCAACCUGUACAAGUGGAAUCAUUCCUAUCAAGGUCUCUCACAGAUGCUGAGUUUAGCUUUACAAUGAGUAAGUGGUUUAAAAACUGAAGUGGGUGGGUCAAAGUGAUCCUCCUCCACCUCCAAUGGUCACACAGUUUUCAGAGGUGUCAUGGCCUGUGUGGAAGGUGAAGAACAUCCCCACAGACUAAAACCAAGCUAUUUAUUUGUCCAUUACAUCCAAAGUGUUUUCAGUCCCUAAGAAGAUUCAGUUUUGGCAUGGGAAUGUUCUUCAUGCAGCUAAGCACAGUGCACUUGUGGAAAGUUUCAGGGUUUGGGCAAAGGCAAAGAGGUGGAACAACUGUCUUCAACUCUGCUUUGUGCUACAGGGCCUUCAGGUGACCUUUCAGCAUCUGUGAUAAGUUUUAAACAUAAAACAGGAUGGGUAAAUUCCCAAAGGCCUCACUAACCUAGACCUGUAGGCAGAUGCAGAUACAGCAUUGCAGGCUGCUGUACCUAAAGGACAAAACCCAAAGAAGCUAGUGCCCAGACAGCAGGUCUUUGUGGCAGUAGUUCACUAGAAGAGUUACUCUGAAGUUUAGCAUUGAGGUAGCUAUGCUCCCAGUUACUCUCUGGAGCUCAGAAACACCCACUCCUCCAAAGGAGGCUUGACUGUUUCCUAUCUGUGAGAAGGGGCAGAACUUUUGAAAAUGUUCCCCAAAUCCCCUUUGUCUUUUUUCUCUCACUGAAAAGUUCCUGGACUGAUUCCAUUAUGCAUUCUAGAAACUUUGCUUAAAGGAUGUUUGAAAAGAUGGCUCCUAGAAGAGAUCCCCAUGUAAUCAGAAAAACUGUGGUCGCCUGGCUAAAAUAGAAAGGGAGACAAAUGGCAUUAAAAGCAGGAGUCCAAUAAGAGGAUAGAGAGCUUUGAGAAUUAGUUAUUUGACUCUUUUUGACCUAAAUCUCUGGUUUAAUGAAGUAAAAUCUUUCCACAGGGUGCUCUUUAAAGUCCUUUAACAGAAGGUUUUUCCAUCCUGAGCAGAGGCUUAGCAGAGGACAUGGCAGCCAGAGAAAGGAAGUGUGGUCAACAACAGUCUAAUCAUGCCCAUCCAAUUCUGUACCACCCUCUGUACUCACUGCUCAGUAAAGUGUAAUGAUCGUUCAGUCAUUAACAUCUUCACAUAAACAUGCAUAUGGGAAAGAGUGAAAGCUGUGAGACUGAGACCAGGCAUUCGUUUUCUAGAGAGGACAAAGCAGGGCAGAACUUCUAGCUCGUUGUGGGAGCAUGGCAGAAGGAAGGGGCUACUGGGGUGAAGUGUUUCAGAUUAACACCCUCCUGCAGGCUGCCACACCCUUCAUUUGGGGAGAAAGUCUUUGUUUCAGAGGGAGGCUCUUGCUCCUCAUGUGCUGGUGAGAACUGAGGUGGCGAGGAUGAUCUGAACUGGACUCUGGAGCAGAUUCCUCCUCCCCACUUUGAUGCUACCAGAUGUACUUGGAGAAGACAGUGACAGAGGCUCAUGGUGUUUAGUCUCCUAGGACUAUAUGUCCUUGAACAGGGGUCUCUGCUGUAUUUCUCUACUUGGCAGAGAGUGAGUUCACCUGAGUAUCCUCUGCCUGAAUGAAAUAAAAGGCCAAUUUCCCUGUAAAUGA